AGAGUUUGAUCCUGGCUCAGGAUGAACGCUAGCGACAGGCUUAACACAUGCAAGUCGAGGGGCAGCACAGGUAGCAAUACCGGGUGGCGACCGGCGCACGGGUGAGUAACGCGUAUGCAACUUACCUAUCAGAGGGGGAUAACCCGGCGAAAGUCGGACUAAUACCGCAUAAAGCAGGGAUCCCGCAUGGGAAAUUUGCUAAAGAUUCAUCGCUGAUAGAUAGGCAUGCGUUCCAUUAGGCAGUUGGCGGGGUAACGGCCCACCAAACCGACGAUGGAUAGGGGUUCUGAGAGGAAGGUCCCCCACAUUGGUACUGAGACACGGACCAAACUCCUACGGGAGGCAGCAGUGAGGAAUAUUGGUCAAUGGGCGUAAGCCUGAACCAGCCAAGUCGCGUGAGGGAUGAAGGUUCUAUGGAUCGUAAACCUCUUUUAUAUGGGAAUAAAAUGUUCCACGUGUGGGAUUUUGUAUGUACCAUAUGAAUAAGGAUCGGCUAACUCCGUGCCAGCAGCCGCGGUAA
This 520-nucleotide ribosomal RNA is filed under the name uncultured bacterium. RNAcentral's name for it is "bacterial SSU rRNA". It matches the Rfam family "Bacterial small subunit ribosomal RNA", at positions 8 to 523 of the family's 1533-position model. The record is from RNAcentral.